UGACUGCACUAAGGUAGCAUAAUUACUUGCCUACUAAAUGUAGUAUUGUUUGAACGGGUUUAAUAUGAAGGUUUAAAUUUAAUUUUGUUUUAUUUGAAUUUUUCUUUCUGGUGUAGAUCCCAGAACUGAAGGUCUGUGACGAAAAGACCCUAAAGAACUUUGAUUUUAUUUAAGUUAGUAUUUUUGAUGGGAUAUCUGAGAAAUUAGUUUUCUUUUGUGUGCUAUAAAAAGUUUCCUUAGGGAUAACAGGGUAAUAUAAUUUUAGAGGGCAUAUCGAAGAUUUGGAUUACUACCUCGAUGUUGAAUCAUAGUGAAUUGCUGGCGUAGAGGCUUGUAUAUUUAGUCUGUUCGACUAUUUAAACUAUACGUGAUUUG
RNAcentral lists this ribosomal RNA (375 nucleotides) under Crenobia alpina. RNAcentral's name for it is "partial 16S ribosomal RNA". It matches the Rfam family "Bacterial large subunit ribosomal RNA", at positions 1943 to 2607 of the family's 2925-position model. The record is from RNAcentral. Lineage: Eukaryota; Metazoa; Platyhelminthes; Tricladida; Planariidae.